Corvus hawaiiensis (hawaiian crow) is the source of this 559-nucleotide long non-coding RNA. RefSeq lists it as uncharacterized. The transcript is spliced from 3 exons. Lineage: Eukaryota; Metazoa; Chordata; Aves; Passeriformes; Corvidae. The record is from RefSeq and is a predicted model, not a curated record.
CAGAACUGCCUGAGAGUCAACUGGCUUUAAAAGAAUCUCUUCUGAGACUUCCCAACCACUUUCCCUGUCUCCAAACCCACAAGGUGUGAGCUGCUGGAGGCACACCUUGGUUUGCAGUCAAGCUCUGAAAAAGAAGAAAGGAAUCAAGUUUCAGAAGGAAAAUAGGUGAAGGCAAGUAUUAAUUUUAUGCUCAUGGUGUAAAAGUUCUCAAAGGAAAGAAAGAUAACUAGUCUGGUAGCUUACAAAGGGAGUUCAAAGAAGACCAUUCAUUUCUGGUUCAUUAAGACUAUGCUUACAAGGAAAUUACCUAUAUAAAGCUAGAAAUGGUUAACAAUAUGAAAUGCUGUGCACAGCCCAAGAAAAUUUAACCUUAAGAGCAACUUAAUAUAUUGUGCUCAGGGUCAGACUGAAAAUAAAACAGGAAGUGGGGAAAAAAAUUAGAUGCAAGUAAGCUGCUAAUUAUGUGGGGUUUUCCUAAGGUCAUUAUGUGUUUUUCAGUUUAUGCUUAUAACUGUGUUAGAUCUUUUAGCUCUCUGAGAAGACAGAAGAAUAUUUAAUA